AGACCAACCAGCCCGCACGCACCACACCACACAACACGAUUGAUUCCCCAACCAACCACCUACGCUCUCCCUUCCCUACCCCGAUCUCGAUCCCAUCGCUGCCGCCGGCGAUCUCCUCACCCCCCCCUGCGCCACCGCCCCCAACCUUCUGUUCCUCUCCCAUCGGAAUCCCAAGGGAAGGGAAGGGUAGGGAAGGCAAGGGAAGGGAGAGGGAGCGCCCAGAUCCACGGCGGCAUCAGCGCGCUGUCGUCGACCUGAUCCGCGUCCGUCCUCGAGGGAGGUUGGCCAUGGAGGUCUGACCCGGCCCCGCAGCAGCGAUGGACGGACGGAGACGCCCCAAACCCGAGAACGACACCUCAACCUUCAAGGACGACGCCUCAACCUUCAAGGGCGCGUGCCGGCGACCGCGGAUCUUCGAUGACGGCUAUGGAUGGCUGCCCCGGAUCUGGACGCACGACCUGCAGCUGCUGCAGCAGCUGGACGACCCAACGCACGAGCCCUCCCCCCUCCCUCAUGGCUCUGCUUCCUCCUACCCUGCCCCCCUCACGUGGGCGUGCUGCCUUGGCAGGGAUCCUCCAUAUCAAGGGAAGAGCGGGGUAGUGUGGGCGAGGGAAGUCCUUGUAUACCAGUCUUCUAAAAGAAACACAAAAGGAAACAAGAUGCAGUAAAUUUUUGAUGAAGAACAUUUUUCCAUAGCUUGUGAACAUAAUUGGUAUUCUAUCUAGCUGUGAGACCUUGCCUUUAUUUUGUAUGAAGUUAUGGUCACAGGAUCAUAGCACUCUGGGUUUUGGAUUCAGGUACAGGAUCAUGUGAUAAAAGAUAUGGUCACACCCAACAAUACACAUGACCGACCGCCGCUCCUCACGGACACUCCAGAACGUCCCAGCGUGGCGUCACUGGAGGAGACCAUGGUCAUGCACUCAACGGCUGGAACGAAGGGGCAGAGCAGGUGCUGACAUCUUCAUCUGGCCUUAGUUCCGAGGAAUUUAACUUGCCUACAAACUAUUUAAUUAAGCAUGUGGUCUACUCAGCCUCGUACUCCUUUGGCUGAGUUCUUGGUCCCCCUUUCCUUUUCUAUUCCCCUACCUAGCCUUCGAGCUAUGGCUGUGGCUUGUCGGUCAUCGAGCCGUGCUAAAUAGUACUGUUAGUUCAUUCCGGCAUCCUCAGACGAGGGAAGUCAAGGAGAUUAUAUUGCUUUCGCAUGCUCACCGGUGUUGGGCGCUGCCAGAGUUUGAAGCAUUGGGUAGCCUGAGCCCAAGAAACCUGGCACAAGAGAAGGAAGGGAAGAUGUUAUUGGAUACACUUAGCAUAAGGAGGCUUAAGAGUGAUGCUCAAGGAGACAUCGAAUGCUAUGAAGAACAGAGACCCAGAUAGGGUGCCCCUUGGCAGGCUGGACGGAAAGUCAGCAUCAAAAUUGCAGAAGAGAGAGCCCAACAGGGUGCCCGUUGGGAGGUUGGACAAGAAUUCGGCGUGGAAAAUGCAGAAGAGAGAGCCAAAUAGGGUGGACAAGAAUGCGUGUUGAUUCGACAUGUGAUUAUCUAACCAGGAGAAACCGGUAGCUCAUUGAUCUCCGGUACUUGUUGGUAGACAGUCUCACAGGUUGUGAAACCAUGGUUUCUUUCUCCAUCCCAUUAUCUAGCUUAUCUGUAUACCUGCAGACCAUGAGAAGAUUUGGCUGCAUUUUUUAGUCGACACUCUCCGUGGUCAUCUAGAGAUGUACCUAGAUUAAUUUAGCGACCACUAGUGUUUCUUGAUCUGCUUCAGUUAAGACCAAAAGUGUUUCUUGGUUU
Non-coding RNA from Aegilops tauschii subsp. strangulata, 1790 nucleotides. NCBI's taxonomy places the organism in Eukaryota, Viridiplantae, Streptophyta, Magnoliopsida, Poales, Poaceae. The record is from RefSeq and is a predicted model, not a curated record.